ACUCUCCAAGCUCUGCAUGGUAAAACUUGGCUUAACUCGUGACUUUUGUAAUGUAGAGAGAGAGGAAAGAGCUCAGGAUCUUGGAUGGCUUCACAGUGGCCUCUCUUUCCUUGAGGAGUCCAACAGAG
This is a small nucleolar RNA of Otolemur garnettii (small-eared galago), 128 nucleotides long. NCBI's taxonomy places the organism in Eukaryota, Metazoa, Chordata, Mammalia, Primates, Galagidae. The record is from Ensembl.